ACUGAGGAACCGGAUGUUUGUGGAGAGCGGAUGGAGCUGCGCGCGCACAUGAGCAAAACAGGUGAGUAACGCUAGAGCUUUAGGUUUGACCUUUUAAGUGUGUGUAAGUAUAACAAGGACAAUAUAAUACAAAUAUAAUCACUUUCAUAAGCAGUCAUUAGAUCCAUCGACCAGCUAUGCUGCAUUAAAAAGUCAGAGAUUCUUGAGAGGUGGGCUUUCAAGGAAAUAAGAGAAGUUAUUCAUAUUUUGUUUAUUUCAAAGUUUCUUUUCAUGAUGUGCAAUUGAGAGCUUUGGUCGUCAGCAUCCCAGCUUGUAUAUUUUUCUCAUAAUUAAUGACUAGUUGGUGCUGAAUGAAAAAUAUAGCCCAGAGGAUAUGGAAUUCAAGCACUGGAUGUUGUUACCCUUAUUUAAUACCUGUAGCUACAUGUUUCCACAAAGUGUCAUGGUAACUGACCUUACCACAGAACCUGGCAUCAAACAUGCCUAUACUGUAAUCGCCGUUGUGAGAAAAUCCAAGCUCGCUCAACAUUAAUUCCACGUGCAGUUUCAGCACAGAGAGAAAGAAGGUCAACUUUUAGGAAAUAAUUCAUGUGAAUGCUGUUUCUGCUCAAGGAGAAACUCUGACCAGCAGAGCAGUCAGUAUCUAAUUACUUUGUUGUUUUUCCUAUGGAAGCCAUGAUGUGAAAAUGUGCAUGAUGCUAAACAGCUGGACGUACUUUCCACUUGCUGCAUCCGCAGCCAGCUGCAGACGUGUACUGGUCACGCGGACGUGCACGUGGUUCCAUUAAUCAAAAAUGAAAUCUUCUCACUAGAAUAUGACAAAAUAUACGUAUAAAAUGGAAACAGGAACUACAUGGCAAUCUGCAGAUUCGAAACAAACUUUUUGAGAUGUUACGGGAAUUACUUUGUUGAUAAUAAUUUAAAAUCUGACUGAUAUGCUAAGAUAAUUGCAGCUGGCAGACGUGGAUAUCUCUGCUGUAUUGGUGCUUUCUCUGUGUGUGUGUGUCUCUCUCUAUCUCUCUCUCUCUCUCUCUCUCUCUCUCUCUCUCUCUCUCUCUCUCUCUCUCUAACACACAACCAACACAAUGUAUUGGUGAGUGACAGGUGAAAUGACAUGAUUGCUCACAUUUUCCCCCUUUAAAAAGUCUUAGUUUGCUGUUUUUUUCUCAUUUUUGAAACUCUGAUGCAUUCUCAUUUGACGCAGCAUGUUCUGCACAAUAGCUUGUAAGCGUCUGUUUGAAGAUGAUUGUGAACCAUGGCCCCUGCACCACCAACACACUGGCAUCCCAUACAGAAAGGCACAGCUCUCUCUGUGAUGGUGGAAAAGCACUACAGACUGAAGUGGAGACUGGAGAUCACUUACCUUGCAUGGCAGCAUGAUUCCCGCACUGCCAAGACAUCACAUAUCGCCCAAAGAUCCAUCUUGUCGGUGCAUGGACCAAUCGGUGUCCUGCUACAGGCGGACUACGUGAUCAUCGCGACAUCACGUGAAUCCAGCUGCCAUGCAAGAGGGGGACGAAAAACAGGGCGGAGCCGGCACCAGUUGGUAAGGGUUAUCUUUCAGGAUUACCUACCCUGCCGGCUCACCCAAACCUGGACGGAACCCAGAUGAGGAGCAUAAGCAAGGAGUGACUGCUGCAUAAGAAGGAGAACAGGAGCCUUCAGAGGGUAGAAGGAAAACCGAGGAGCGAGGGAGGAACACAAGGAGCGUAAGCUGACAGUCCUGCUUGACCUUACCUCUGGCCAACCUUUCUGUCGAGGCAUUGUCGGCCUCCUAGAAACAGCCUCAAUGCUGAUAAGAAGGGACUGCUAAGAAGGGACUGCCCCGCUUGCACGUCAAGGACUUCUUCUUCCAGGUGGAGUGUCAGUUUACCGUCUCUAAAAAGACCAUCAGUAGCCAGCUUGUCCCACUUCCUACCAUUCCAGCGUGUGGCCUGGACUUUGUGGAACCCCUGCCGUAGAUCCCCUGAGGGCGCCGCUUCAUCUUGGUCAUGGUCCACGACGCCAUCCAGUUUCCUAAAGUGGUCCAUCUAUGCACUACCUCAACAAAGGUCAUUGUAAGAGGUUCUCUUGUUGUUUUCUAGAGUUGGCACAGCAAAAUAAAUCUUAAUGGACCAGGGAACCACCCUCAUGUCAAAGGUCAUGCACUACCUGUGCACACCACUCAGUCUACCCCCUCUCCAACGGAUGGCUUGGUGGAGUGGUUCAACAAGACCCUGAGGUGCAUAUUUCGAUAGUUAAUACAAUUGUUUGUAGAAAUUGGAAUCAGUUGUUGCCUCAUGUCCUUUGGGCUGUCUGCAAAGUCCUCCAGAGCUCUACAGGAUUCUCCCAAUACAAGCUGCAAACAACGACCCUGGGGAACCCUCGACCUGGCUGAAGAAGCGUGGGAGCAGCAAACAUCCUACAUGGACAGCAUGAAACUGGGGUUGGCUCAGGUGUGGCUCAUGGUCUGGCAUAUGGCACAAGCUCGCUAGUGGCUAACAAGAUCAGAAAAGUCUUGCUGCAAGUUAUUGGAGAAAAAAGGCUGUGCCCCUGCGAGGUAGUGGAGAAACCACCUCGGUGGCCAGAGCCUUGUCUCUCUCCACCACUGUUGCGAGGCGCCAGAGAAGAGGGUGGAGGAUCACAUUUGGGGCUCAGUAUUUCUUAAAGUGAUAGUGUGGGUGAUUUGAAGUAGGGUUCUAUGAGUACGUACCCGCUAGUCAGUGCAUUACCUGAAGUAAAUGACAGUUGGCACACCCCCAGUUUGAAGAAACAGACCAGCACGGUUCUGCAGCAGCCAAACAUAUUUCAGACACCUAAGAAGGGUCCACCAAAAAGAAAUAUCAGUUGUGUAUCAGUAUGUGUACUAGCAGGACGUGCCGACCACCAUCUACUGUAUAUUCAAUGACUAUAGAUAAGUACAACCAAACAAUAAUCCGAACUAUCCCUUUAUUUUUUACAUUGAAUGUUAAGAAUGUCAUUGUCGCUGAAUACAAUCAGUGGUUAGCUGAAUUAUUCAAUAUCAAUGUAUUGUCUGGAGAAAGGGUAAUUUAUGGUAUUAUCAAAUGCUAAUAACAUAGUUCGAGGUUGUUUUGAGGAAGUCCUGGAAAGACCAUAAGAUCAUCUGUCAUGUAGUGGAUUGUCCUGUUCCCUGAUUAAGUAAAUCAUCCUGUUGGGGCUCCAUGCCAACACGAUGGCAAAGUGGUUAGUAGUACUCUCCUCUUAUAGUUUAAACUUGAACUCCAAGCUGAACAAAGUGUUUGCUCAUUUAAAUGUCCUACUGAUACAUGAACCCAAAAGGGUUUUAGCAGAUGUAGCCAGGUUUUAUAUUUAAUUGAAUCUGGCGUCAGUGUUCUUGCUGAGCGAAGCUCAACGAAUGUGUUUCUCCGUACUGAUGACACGUCUCGGGCAUGGAGGCAUGUUCAAAGCUACGUUAUGUGUCUUUCUUUCUUCGGUGAGCCUCUCAACAGGGUUCAACAGCGAGGUGCAGCUUGUAGUCCCACUCGCUUCCCGGGCGCAAACAAUGACGGUAAAACCUUAAAGCACUUUGCUCAGCUCGCUAUUUUAUCAGAGAAGACAUGAUGAGCUUGUAUAAGUUUGAUGUAUUAUUAAUACGACGCUUGUCACUGCAGUGCCACUUGCUGUCUCUCCAGCAUGAUGUAAAUGUACACCCUUGUGAUGGUGCGGUCAUGUGAUGGAGGAGGAGACCUCUGAUUGGCUACAAAUAAUUCCCUAAAUGGAACAAGUAAGCAACCUCCGGUGCUAUGACAUGAACACAACUCUGAAGUGCCAGAAACUGCAGUUCAUCAAAUGGCCACUUGAGGCUGGCUCCAGAAGCAAGUCGAUCAUAAAAUGCCCAAGUGAACAGCAGAACUAAGCAUGCCUGUACAUACAUCCUGGUACGAGAAACCUGUUGAGUCUCGAUGAUGAUGUCCCUGUUCAUCACCACUGUAUGGGGGGUGAAAUGGCUGAUUAGGCAUAAUCAAGGGCCUGGUUGCUUUCAGUGACGGGUGGGGGCAAUUAACUGUAAACCGGGCAUCCUGCUGGGCAAUGUUCAACAGCUUGUACAUCAAUGUUUUUAAUGUAAAUGUCAUUUUAAAUGCAUACAUUUCUAUUACAUUCAUUUAACUUUGUAUAGGUGGGAUUUUGUUUACAUUUAUAUAUCUAAAACAAUUUGUUGUGUGUGUGUGGCCCACCACCUGAUCUUUAUAACUAACUUACUGUAUUUGUGUCAUAGCCCAUUGUUAGAAUCUCCUUGUUAUUUCUGUUUUAUUAUUUUCUGUUUCACUAUUAAUGAUUGCAGUCGUAUCACAUCCUUUCUUGCGGUUACAAUACAAACAUUUCUUUUCUUUAGAGCCUUGCUGUCAACUUCUUAGACAGACAGAAUCGGCCACAGAAUAGCGACACUGCUAAAUGUCUUUAGCUUUGCUCAUUUUAUACUUAUAAAAUAACAUUAUAGCUUGUUUUACUACGUCUAAGGAUGUUGUGCUCCUUCCAAGUAGCCAGUGAUGGCCUUAGCUCGUACAUCGUGGUGUUUGAAACUGCAAACUCGGUGCCGAUGCGACACAGUAGCGCUGCAGAUGUAAUUAAACAUUGUAGUGUUUCGACGCGUUUGGUAAUUACGGUUAUUUCACGGCUUUGUGCUAAGUGUUUCACAGAACACACAAGUGGAACCCUUGCUUUGGAGAGGGGUUCCGCUCCCCUCACUCUUUGAUUACUUAAUGGGAUUAAUUAUUCUUUGAAGAAGCAGAGCGACUAAACUGUGCAUGUUUGUACAACCUGUAGCUCCGCUUAGCACCGCGGAGCUUUACGUUGCUGGAUCAGUGUGCUCCAAGAGGGUUCGCUUCUCCAGAAAGACUUUUGCAUGUUAAUCCCCAGAUUCACCGUAUGGCACAAAAAGGACAAGGCCGAAAACAGUAACGGAAAGCAAGGACAGGAUGUAGCCUUUCUUUCACCUCCUAAGACCUGAGCUUAAAGGCCGGACCAUGUGACGGGUGGAAAUGUGUUGGUGGUCCGCAGCUACAACAGCCCUGCCCGCGCAUGCAUACACACACAGUCCCCCGAAACCCCCCACUUACAAAAACCUCCGUGACCUUCCUUCUAAUUGGAUUUGGGGUGAAG
Long non-coding RNA from Cyclopterus lumpus (lumpfish), 5100 nucleotides. RefSeq lists it as uncharacterized. Lineage: Eukaryota; Metazoa; Chordata; Actinopteri; Perciformes; Cyclopteridae. The transcript has 3 exons. The record is from RefSeq and is a predicted model, not a curated record.